CAUUAAGUGACUGAAACGUAAGUAAUGGUCUCUUAAACCAAAACAUGGUAUUUAACAAUUACCCUUAAUG
Molecule: transfer RNA, 70 nt
Filed under: Rhodnius prolixus
Lineage: Eukaryota; Metazoa; Arthropoda; Insecta; Hemiptera; Reduviidae
Description: tRNA-Lys
Source: RNAcentral